Molecule: ribosomal RNA, 878 nt
Filed under: Mermithidae sp. KW-2011-M1
Lineage: Eukaryota; Metazoa; Nematoda; Enoplea; Mermithida; Mermithidae
Description: SSU rRNA
Rfam family: Eukaryotic small subunit ribosomal RNA
Source: RNAcentral
AAGCCAUGCAUGUCUAAGCACAUGCCUUAAAAUGGUAAAGCCGCGAAUGGCUCGGUAUAACAGCUACGGUUUAUUAGAUUUUAGUUAUCUACUUGGAUAACUGUGGUAAUUCUAGAGCUAAUACAUGCACAAAAGCUCGGACCUUACGGAAAGAGCGCAUUUAUUAGAACAAAACCAAUCGGUCGCACGCUUCGGCGUCGGCCGGCAAUUGGUGACUCUGAAUAACUAAGUUGAUCGCACAGUCUUAGAACUGGCGACGUAUCUUUCAAAUAUCUGCCUUAUCAACUUUCGAUGGUAGGUUAUACGCCUACCAUGGUUAUAACGGGUAACGGAGAAUAAGGGUUCGACUCCGGAGAGGGAGCCUGAGAAAUGGCUACCACAUCCAAGGAAGGCAGCAGGCGCGCAAAUUACCCAAUCCCAGUACGGGGAGGUAGUGACGAAAAAUAACGAGAUAGUCCACUAUGUGGCCUGUCAUCGGAAUGGGUACAAUUUAAAUCUUUUAACGAGGAUCUAUUAGAGGGCAAGUCUGGUGCCAGCAGCCGCGGUAAUUCCAGCUCUAAUAGCGUAUAUUAAAGUUGUUGUGGUUAAAACGCCCGUAGUUGAUUUUUCGACUUUGGAGCGUGGUAUCUCGAAAGAGUUUUCACUGCGUCUUCAAGUCUGAAUUUAAGUUUUCUAUGGAUGCUCUUUAUUGAGUGUCCUUAGUGACUUGAACGUUUACUUUGAAAAAAUUAGAGUGCUUAAAGCAAGCUUUACGCUUGAAUAAAGUGCAUGGGAUAAUGGAAUAGGACUUUAGUCUUAUUUUGUUGGUUUUCGAGAUUAAAGUAAUGAUUAAGAGGAAUAGACGGGGGCAUUCGUAUUGUUGCGUUAGAGGUGAAAAU